Molecule: long non-coding RNA, 609 nt
Filed under: Vigna radiata
Lineage: Eukaryota; Viridiplantae; Streptophyta; Magnoliopsida; Fabales; Fabaceae
Description: long non-coding RNA (VRAD_LNC003600)
Source: RNAcentral
GUGACACUCGAAUCUCUGUCUCCACGUGAGACCCAACCUUCUUAUCGUACCACAAUACGAAAAGCUCACACAUUUGACAAAAUUACAAGGAAAUAACAAGACUUAUGCUCACACAACCGCUUCACAAAACCAUACAUAUCGCAUAAUAGUGAGCAAUAAUAACCUAUCAAACAUAGGCCAAUCAAAAUGACAAUUAAUCAAAACAAAUGCUUAAAUCAGUUUUUACUAAAGGACUCCCCUGAAAUUACUAAGUAUACAGCCUUAUCCACUAAUUCAGCAUUUCUAGAUCACCCUUGUUUUUACUAGGUACACAUCUACAAAUAACCAAACACUAUUCACGCACCCCCUCUAUUUUUUUCUAAAUUCACUCCCUUUUCUACUAACCUUGACUGUGGGCCCACCAAUCCAUAAUUAAAUAAAAAAACACAUUCCUUCUCUCUCACUCGAGUGGGCUUAUACAAGUCCACUCCCACUCAUUUUCUCUUUUCUCUCUCACGUAUACGUAGACCCCUUAUCUCCUCUCUCUUCUUUUUAUUUUUCUUUUUCGAUAACACCUAGUUCUCUCUCUUUUCUAUUCUUUCUCUCAUUUAAUGUGUGACAUGUAAGACC